Long non-coding RNA from Anas platyrhynchos (mallard), 595 nucleotides. RefSeq lists it as uncharacterized. NCBI's taxonomy places the organism in Eukaryota, Metazoa, Chordata, Aves, Anseriformes, Anatidae. The record is from RefSeq and is a predicted model, not a curated record.
CAGGGGUGGACAUGGGGUGGGGGCUUCAUGGACAAGGGCCCACUUCCAAGAAGAGUUCAUCAGGGGACAGCAGCCAGCCAAAAGCCCAGAUCACCAGACAAGACCACAGUGAUCAGUCCCAGCUCAAAUCAAGGUCCAUACUGAUGUGCAGAAUAUGUCAGUGAGAGGGAAGCGUGUCUGGAAGGGAGAUAACUGCAGAAGAGCUCUGUAACAAAGCAAAUAAUGUCAUCAGAUUGGGGAAACUUUCUCUGCAGAGAUCUAUUUGGAUCUCCGGUCCCCAUGGCAAUAGCGUCCCAAGCUCUGAAAAUAACAACGUGCACAGCUAUUUUGACUGAAGGAACCAGACGACACACGCGCAUAAGGCUAAGCAGAUGGGGACGUGCCUUCAGCCAGAGGGUUUCGUUUCAGUCAUGAAGCUCUCUCUGCCUUUAUGUUGAACCUUGGCUUCACCCUGCAAGGCUGCCUCAAGGAUGGAUGGACCAUCAAAGCACCACGUGGACCUUAUCUCCUGGGCACCUGGAGCCCAUCCCUACGUGAUCCCUGGAGCAGGAGCAGCAGGGCUGGAGGAUGCUGAGGCAGGUGGAGCUGCACAAAG